RNAcentral lists this long non-coding RNA (1973 nucleotides) under Homo sapiens (human). RNAcentral's name for it is "HSALNT0379281". The stretch from base 1864 to 1941 matches the Rfam family "Small nucleolar RNA SNORD113/SNORD114 family". The record is from RNAcentral. Lineage: Eukaryota; Metazoa; Chordata; Mammalia; Primates; Hominidae.
ACCAAUGAUGAGUAUUCUGGGGUGUCUGAAUCAAUGAUUUUGAUUAAACCCUGUAACUCUGAGGUCCAUUAUAAGAGGAGACCUAGUUAAUACCUAUAUGGUAAAUGAUAUUAUAGUGGAAGUUAGAAUUAUUUGGGAUUUUGUUCUUAGGUGGUUGAAGUUCAUAGGUGUGGAUUGUAUUACUAGAAAAGAUUUAGUAAAUGAAAAAUGAAACAAAUAUGUAAAUAAAGGAAGACAAGUAGAGCCAUAUGUUGCCUAAUUAUGAGAAUGUAUAAUGUAUUUAUUAUUAUUAACACACUUCUGAAGCACUCAGUUUCAACAUAAAUUGAUUAAAUCUGAUACCUAUUUGGGUAAGGAAUAUACAUACAGAGACAAGUACCUAGAAAUCAGUAUUGUUUGUCCUGCAUUAUUUAGAUGUUGCUGUUUCUUAAUGAACACAAGAAAAUAUGAUCUAGUCUGGGAAUCAUGAGCAAAUGACAGGUGUUAACGCCAUUCAUAUUUCUGAUGCAAUCUGUAUGUUCACAGAUAUUGAUGAUGUCAUGAGUGAAUGUAUACACAGGAGUGAAUGUAUUCAGUUAUUUGAGGAAGGAUAAGUCUACUUUUCUUCCACGUAACAACCACAGGAUAGAUGACAUUCAUUUUCUAAGAAACAAAAUCUUGGCAGUUAGAUCCGUGGGGUAAAGAAUAUAGAUACUAAUAAUGAAAACCAUGUAGCUGGUCUUAUUAUUCUCUAAUCAUGAAGACCAUUAUUGUUAUUUGUGGACUAAGGAGCAGAAAGACUGAUAGUGGACAUAGGCCAGCUGAUUUAAUAAUUUAAGAAAGAACUGUUAUCCUGAGUAAGGAGCAUAGAGACAAAUAUAAAAUGAACGCACUCUACCUGAUUUAAUUAUAGUCUUCUGGUGAAGAUCUUGCUGUUAUCUCUGUGAAUCAGGAGAGAAGAGAUUGAUAAGGAAUAGACGAGAUUGGAUUUGGUCAUUUCCCCAAGGUGAAGAGCAUGGCGAUUUCUUCUGUGGUAAGGAGCAAUAAUGAAGACCAUGGUUGAUUUAAUCAGUCUCUGCUGAUGAAGAUCUUGGCUGUUACCUUUGUGUGUAAGGAAGCUAAAGACUUAAGUAAAUAACAGUCCAAAAACUUGUCAAUUAGGAAUGAAUGCGCAAUGAUUCAAUUAUUCUCCAGCGAGGAAGAUCAUGGUUGUUGUCUGUUUGAGUAAUGAGUGUAGAAACCUAUAAUGGAGGCGUGAUGGCUGAUGCAAUCAUUUUCCACUGAUGAAGGUUUUGAUGGCCACCUGUAAUGAACAGCCCCAUCUGAUUUAAUCACUGUGCAAUGACCGUGAACUGUACAGUUACCUCCGUGUGUCACAGGAAGACUCUUUUGACUUAAGCACCCUUCCAUGGUCAUGAGGUUUCUGGUUGCCUCUGUGUGUUAGAAGCUUGGAGACCAAUGCCUUCUGCUGUGAUCGCGUUCUCCACAGUUGCCUCUGGGUAGGAGCCUGGACACUAAUAGAAGUAAGAGUCAAUCUUCUUGUCAUAUUUUUAUAUUUGUUUAGGGUAGAUUUUAAAAGAUUCACUAUAAAUUUUUAAAUAACCAAAGAAAGCCACCCAUGACCCAGUGGAAAGUAUGUGGUGGACAUGAAACAUGUUGAUUAAUCCAUAUUUAUAACACUGUGGAUGAUUAAUGAAAAAAACAUGGUAAAUGACUUUAUAGACUGGUGUUAGGGAUACUUAAGUCAUCUUGUUCUCAAGGGUUUUGGGAUUUUGUUCAUAAGCGUUUUAGAUAGGUAGAUAUUUACUUUAAUAUGAUUAGUUUACUGAUAAAUUAACCAGUAAAGAAAUGUAGAGAUGAAUGAGAUAAAAGAGGCCCAAGCUUGGGACCAAUGAUAAUGACUGUUGGGGUAUGAGUCAGUGAGGUUGAAUAACAGUUUGUAUCUGGAAAUCUGAGGUCCAACACAAUAAAAAAUUUAGUCUAAUUACUCUGAU